GCGGGAAUCCUGCAGGCUAUUUCAAUGGCCCAGGAGAGGAACGGUGACCUGUCCCUGGGUGGUAGCGGUGGAGGUAGUUGGAAGCAGAUGGAGUCUGUCACACAUGGAAGGGAGAGAACGUAUCGGUUGCUGGCACUGGUUGUGAGAGAAGAGAAGAGGAAGAAGAAUAAGCUAAUUUUAUGUCUGUACAAUAUUUAUGAAUAAACCAGAGGAGCCACGAGUCUGAGUUCAAUACCCAAGUCCUAAGGUUGCAGAGAACUAGGAAGUUUCGUAUGUUUCCUGUGAUUUUCGUAUGUUUCCUGUGAUAAUCGUAUGUUUCCUGUGAUAACACCACGCGUAGUAAAGUGCAACAGCGAGAGAAAUGCCCUUAUUUCUCUGUAUUAGCACAUGCAGAAGGAUGGAGAAGUUGGAGAAAACAGGAAGAAAUCUCAGCACUUGUCAAACGUGACUGGCAGCUUUACCACCCAUCUCUGUUCUGCGGAUUUGAAAUGUUUCACAAUAGACUUGGUGGAUGGUGGAUGCAGGGAUGACACCACUUUCAGAGAAGAGAUAAACACAUGUCUAAAACUCACGGAAACCCUCCUGGGAAGUGACAGCCUUUCAAUUUGUAAAUGUUUCUGAGCACCUAAGUGUUGCGCAACAAUGCCCGGGUCUUGGGGAGCCUGCAGAGAAUGAGCGAUGUUUACAGAUGUCAGAAGGAGGGAUACGCCACUGGCAGAACCAUCUCAGGCUCCAGGACAAACAUUCCCCCAGAGGAGUCAAGCUGUUGAGUUAGAAUGGAGUGAAUCUGAUAAAAAAAAAAAAAAAUUCUAGAAUGGGGUGAAUUUGAUACAAAUCUGCUGAAAUAUUUCUCAUUGGCUGCAGCUUUCCAGGAUUUCAUUC
Molecule: non-coding RNA, 882 nt
Organism: Peromyscus maniculatus bairdii (prairie deer mouse)
Lineage: Eukaryota; Metazoa; Chordata; Mammalia; Rodentia; Cricetidae
Source: RefSeq, a predicted model, not a curated record